Molecule: ribosomal RNA, 253 nt
Filed under: uncultured bacterium
Lineage: Bacteria
Description: partial 16S ribosomal RNA
Rfam family: Bacterial small subunit ribosomal RNA
Source: RNAcentral
UACGUAGGGCGCAAGCGUUGUCCGGAAUUAUUGGGCGUAAAGAGCUCGUAGGCGGUCUGUCGCGUCUGCCGUGAAAACCCGAGGCUUAACCUCGGGCUUGCAGUGGGUACGGGCAGACUAGAGUGCGGUAGGGGAGACUGGAAUUCCUGGUGUAGCGGUGGAAUGCGCAGAUAUCAGGAGGAACACCGAUGGCGAAGGCAGGUCUCUGGGCCGCAACUGACGCUGAGGAGCGAAAGCAUGGGGAGCGAACAGG